GCAAAUUCAUAGGGGAUAUGGCUGUCAGUGGCAACUAGCUGUCAUGGCUAUGUUCCACCCCCAUUGUCAGAGGCACUGUACAGCUGAAAACCAGAAUACCAGGUGAGGCAAGUGAUGUUGCACUCAGGUCCUGUUUUUAGGCUUCCCACAGGAAUCUGGCCGGCCAUUGUGAGAAGACAGAGCUGGACUACAUGGGCUAUGUACUUAAAUCCUAUUAAAUGUCCAGACGAAUAAACCCACUGACAGCAUGCAAAAGAGAAAGGGAUUUCUCAGUUUCAUAUCGUAACUGUAGAUAAAUGGUCUCCCUUCAUAAUGCAAUGUAGUCUGUUUUGUGACUUUAUUUUACUGGGUAUACAUUUGUUUUUGUAACAUUUCAAAUAGAUUAAUAAAAGUAAGACAGACAGGCAGGCAGGCAGACAAGAGUGCUCCUGUGAGUCUAAAGCAGCGGUUCUCAACCUGUGGGUCCCCAGAUGUACUACAACUCCCAUCAUCCCUGAGCUCUGGCCUUGCUAGCUAGGGGUGAUGGGAGUUGUAGUUCAACAACAUCUGGGGACCCACAGGUUGAGUAUCCACUUGGAAAGGAAGAUGUCCCGUAUAUAUUGCUCUAGCCCAGACUCUUUCCAUCUGUUAUUGGGGCGGGGGGAAGGAUUCUGCCCUUUAUCUUCCUUAGUUGCAGGUGGAUCAUUCCCAGUGUAAAGGCACAGCACAAUCUCUCUCCCUCAGAGGAGGGUGCCUGUUGUGUUCCUGCACGAGUCACUGCUUUGGCCUUCCUUCCUUCCAUUCAGUCAUCUAUUUCAUCUGCAGGAUUAUGUCUUGUCUCUACAUGGACUGCAAGUGGACUGUUGCUGCUGCUAAAGAUGCAAAAUCACCCCCUCUAAGAGAACACAGAACCUAUGAAACUACAUUAUACUGAGUCAGUGUUUUCCCUACACUGACUUGCAGUAUCAGCAGCUCUCCAGAGGUUCAGUUAGGAGUCUUUCCCACAGCUUCCAAGGGUUGAACCCGGGACCUUCUGCACGCAAAGCUCACUGAGCUAAGGCUCUUCCUCCAAGAUGCAUGUUGUGCCUCUGUGCAAGUCCCUCCUCUGAGCUGGCUUCCUUCUAAUUAGAACAGUGACUCACGUGGAAACACAAGUGUGGACUCCUUUGCAGGUGUCAUUCUCUUACACACCCUGGAGGAAUGGAAAUCCAGAGAAGGGAAGGAGUUUAUUUGGCUAUCGGAGCUUUGGGAAAUCCUGAUUGACGGCAGCCAGAAGUAGACGCAACAAAGAUUUUGAAGAGACAGAAAAAGUCUUUUGAAAGAAAAUUAUAUGAAAAUGAUGUAUAGAUGGUAUAUUACACCAGUACAGAUAGCAAAAAUGUACAAAACCGGGUCAAAUACAUGUUGGAAAUGCAGAGAAAAAGAAGGGACUUUUUAUCAUAUGUGGUGGGAAUGUAGAGAAGUUAAAAAAAAAUUGGGAAAUGAUAUAUAAUGAAUUGAAAAAAAUGUUUAAAAUGACAUUUGUAAAAAAACCCAAAAGCAUUUUUGUUAGGGAUUGUAGGACAAGACCUGCCAGGAAAAACAAAGAACUUAUUUAUGUAUGCUACAACAGUGGCAAGAGUCUUGAUCGCACAAGGAUGGAAGAACGAGGAAAUCCCAACGAAAGAACAGCGGCAAGAAAAAUUUAUGAGCUACGCAGAGCGGGCUAAACUAACAUACAAAUUGCGGGGCAAGGACAACUGUGACUUUAAGGAAGAAUGGGAGCUUUUUACAAAUUAUCUAAAAAGACAACAAAAUGAACUGGACUCCUUGGCAGGUUUUAAAUAAACAUACACAAACUUAUUGGUUGAUAACAUGAUAGAUAGAUAACAUAAGGAUAUGUAUAAUUUUAUAAAAUGCAGAGAAUAAUAUGUGCUGAGAAAUCAGAGAGAGGAGGGAAGUCUCUGGUGGGGGGGAGGGAUGGAAGGGGGUGGGGAAAAAGGGGGGAAAUAAUGUAUAUGAUUAUAUGGUUUGAUGAUUUGUUAUGUUGAAAUUGCCAAUAAAAUAUUUAUAUAAAAAAAGAAGAGACAGAAAACGAGGGUCUCUUGUGAUUUCCCCUAUGUAAUCAGACAGUAUCGUUAGCCUAGACACAUGUACUCUUUUGCAGUCCAACUCCUGCAGUGGCAAAGAAGCCCAGUAUUUCAGUGUGCGGGAAAUGUGGCCUCCAUCAAACAGAACUGCAAGUUUUUAGAGAUUCUGUGCAAAGAAGGAGAAAAACAUUAUUCCAGGGGGGAAGGAGGAAAGAAAAACAAAGCCUGAUGACUCCUUUACUUGGCAAUCACAGCCUGCUCAACAUUGGCUCCUGAAUGAUGUUAAUAAACUGACUAUUUCCUUUGCCACGAAUCUGGCCAGG
Molecule: non-coding RNA, 2371 nt
Organism: Podarcis lilfordi (Lilford's wall lizard)
Lineage: Eukaryota; Metazoa; Chordata; Lepidosauria; Squamata; Lacertidae
Source: the annotation of a GenBank genome assembly